RNAcentral lists this ribosomal RNA (2223 nucleotides) under Salmonella enterica. Its description in RNAcentral is "partial 23S ribosomal RNA". It matches the Rfam family "Bacterial large subunit ribosomal RNA", at positions 683 to 2802 of the family's 2925-position model. The record is from RNAcentral. Lineage: Bacteria; Pseudomonadati; Pseudomonadota; Gammaproteobacteria; Enterobacterales; Enterobacteriaceae.
CUUAACCGGGCGUUAAGUUGCAGGGUAUAGACCCGAAACCCGGUGAUCUAGCCAUGGGCAGGUUGAAGGUUGGGUAACACUAACUGGAGGACCGAACCGACUAAUGUUGAAAAAUUAGCGGAUGACCUGUGGCUGGGGGUGAAAGGCCAAUCAAACCGGGAGAUAGCUGGUUCUCCCCGAAAGCUAUUUAGGUAGCGCCUCGUGAAUUCAUCUCCGGGGGUAGAGCACUGUUUCGGCUAGGGGGCCAUCCCGGCUUACCAACCCGAUGCAAACUGCGAAUACCGGAGAAUGUUAUCACGGGAGACACACGGCGGGUGCUAACGUCCGUCGUGAAGAGGGAAACAACCCAGACCGCCAGCUAAGGUCCCAAAGUCAUGGUUAAGUGGGAAACGAUGUGGGAAGGCCCAGACAGCCAGGAUGUUGGCUUAGAAGCAGCCAUCAUUUAAAGAAAGCGUAAUAGCUCACUGGUCGAGUCGGCCUGCGCGGAAGAUGUAACGGGGCUAAACCAUGCACCGAAGCUGCGGCAGCGAACGUAUCACCCAAGACAACUUUACGGAGUUGACGAUUGACGGAGCGAAGCGACGUCAAAGCGUUCAUUAAAGUCGAGUUGGCUUAGGGAUACGUUCGUUGGGUAGGGGAGCGUUCUGUAAGCCUGUGAAGGUGUGUCGUGAGGCAUGCUGGAGGUAUCAGAAGUGCGAAUGCUGACAUAAGUAACGAUAAAGCGGGUGAAAAGCCCGCUCGCCGGAAGACCAAGGGUUCCUGUCCAACGUUAAUCGGGGCAGGGUGAGUCGACCCCUAAGGCGAGGCCGAAAGGCGUAGUCGAUGGGAAACGGGUUAAUAUUCCCGUACUUGGUGUUACUGCGAAGGGGGGACGGAGAAGGCUAUGUUGGCCGGGCGACGGUUGUCCCGGUUUAAGCGUGUAGGUGUGUGUUCCAGGUAAAUCCGGUUCACUUUAACACUGAGGCGUGACGACGAGGCACUACGGUGCUGAAGCAACAAAUGCCCUGCUUCCAGGAAAAGCCUCUAAGCAUCAGGUAACAUCAAAUCGUACCCCAAACCGACACAGGUGGUCAGGUAGAGAAUACCAAGGCGCUUGAGAGAACUCGGGUGAAGGAACUAGGCAAAAUGGUGCCGUAACUUCGGGAGAAGGCACGCUGACACGUAGGUGAAGUGAUUUACUCAUGGAGCUGAAGUCAGUCGAAGAUACCAGCUGGCUGCAACUGUUUAUUAAAAACACAGCACUGUGCAAACACGAAAGUGGACGUAUACGGUGUGACGCCUGCCCGGUGCCGGAAGGUUAAUUGAUGGGGUCAGCGCAAGCGAAGCUCCUGAUCGAAGCCCCGGUAAACGGCGGCCGUAACUAUAACGGUCCUAAGGUAGCGAAAUUCCUUGUCGGGUAAGUUCCGACCUGCACGAAUGGCGUAAUGAUGGCCAGGCUGUCUCCACCCGAGACUCAGUGAAAUUGAACUCGCUGUGAAGAUGCAGUGUACCCGCGGCAAGACGGAAAGACCCCGUGAACCUUUACUAUAGCUUGACACUGAACAUUGAGCCUUGAUGUGUAGGAUAGGUGGGAGGCUUUGAAGUGUGGACGCCAGUCUGCAUGGAGCCGACCUUGAAAUACCACCCUUUAAUGUUUGAUGUUCUAACGUGGACCCGUAAUCCGGGUUGCGGACAGUGUCUGGUGGGUAGUUUGACUGGGGCGGUCUCCUCCUAAAGAGUAACGGAGGAGCACGAAGGUUGGCUAAUCCUGGUCGGACAUCAGGAGGUUAGUGCAAUGGCAUAAGCCAGCUUGACUGCGAGCGUGACGGCGCGAGCAGGUGCGAAAGCAGGUCAUAGUGAUCCGGUGGUUCUGAAUGGAAGGGCCAUCGCUCAACGGAUAAAAGGUACUCCGGGGAUAACAGGCUGAUACCGCCCAAGAGUUCAUAUCGACGGCGGUGUUUGGCACCUCGAUGUCGGCUCAUCACAUCCUGGGGCUGAAGUAGGUCCCAAGGGUAUGGCUGUUCGCCAUUUAAAGUGGUACGCGAGCUGGGUUUAGAACGUCGUGAGACAGUUCGGUCCCUAUCUGCCGUGGGCGCUGGAGAACUGAGGGGGGCUGCUCCUAGUACGAGAGGACCGGAGUGGACGCAUCACUGGUGUUCGGGUUGUCAUGCCAAUGGCACUGCCCGGUAGCUAAAUGCGGAAGAGAUAAGUGCUGAAAGCAUCUAAGCACGAAACUUGCCCCGA